UUGGAGUUCCCAGAAUCCAUGUCCUGGUGU
RNAcentral lists this non-coding RNA (30 nucleotides) under Rattus norvegicus (Norway rat). The record is from RNAcentral. Lineage: Eukaryota; Metazoa; Chordata; Mammalia; Rodentia; Muridae.